CCUACGGGAGGCAGCAGUGAGGAAUAUUGGUCAAUGGGCGCAAGCCUGAACCAGCCAUCCCGCGUGCAGGAAGACGGCCCUAUGGGUUGUAAACUGCUUUUCCAGGGGGUGAAUAGUUCCGACGUGUCGGGAUAUGACGGUACCCUGGGAAUAAGCAUCGGCUAAUUCCGUGCCAGCAGCCGCGGUAAUACGGAAGGGGCUAGCGUUGUUCGGAAUUACUGGGCGUAAAGCGCGCGUAGGCGGCCGCUCAAGUGAGGCGUGAAAGGCCCGGGCUCAACCUGGGAACGGCGCUUCAGACUGGUCGGCUUGAGUCCGGAAGAGGAUGGUGGAAUUCCCAGUGUAGAGGUGAAAUUCGUAGAUAUUGGGAAGAACACCGGUGGCGAAGGCGGCCAUCUGGUCCGGUACUGACGCUAAAGCGCGAAAGCGUGGGGAGCAAACAGGAUUAGAUACCCUGGUAGUCCACGCUGUAAACGAUGAGUGCUAGAUGUCGGGGGGCUUGCCCUUCGGUGUCGUAGCUAACGCGUUAAGCACUCCGCCUGGGGAGUACGGCCGCAAGGUUAAAACUCAAAGGAAUUGACGG
Molecule: ribosomal RNA, 580 nt
Filed under: uncultured bacterium
Lineage: Bacteria
Description: bacterial SSU rRNA
Rfam family: Bacterial small subunit ribosomal RNA
Source: RNAcentral